Molecule: ribosomal RNA, 254 nt
Filed under: uncultured bacterium
Lineage: Bacteria
Description: partial 16S ribosomal RNA
Rfam family: Bacterial small subunit ribosomal RNA
Source: RNAcentral
GACGGAGGAUGCAAGUGUUAUCCGGAAUCACUGGGCGUAAAGCGUCUGUAGGUGGUUUAAUAAGUCAACUGUUAAAUCUUGAGGCUCAACCUCAAAAUCGCAGUCGAAACUAUUAGGCUAGAGUAUAGUAGGGGUAAAGGGAAUUUCCGGUGGAGCGGUGAAAUGCGUAGAGAUCGGAAAGAACACCAACGGCGAAAGCACUCUGCUGGGCCGACACUGACACUGAGAGACGAAAGCUAGGGGGAGCGAAUGGG